Molecule: long non-coding RNA, 1947 nt
Organism: Cyprinus carpio carpio
Lineage: Eukaryota; Metazoa; Chordata; Actinopteri; Cypriniformes; Cyprinidae
Source: Ensembl
AAUGAUAGUUUGUACAAAGUUAAGACAUAAGCUUGCCCACAUGAAAGAUAUUUCUAACAGUAGUUUUAAGUCAAUCUUUAUGUCCCACUGAUAGCAUUAAUUGUUAACAGUAAUCUUUUGCAAAAUUCCCUCUAUAAUUUCAUAACACUGUGAGGCUUUGGCCACUUUUUAGGUUAAAGUCAUUUUUCAGUUUACAAUUUUAUUGUCAACAUUUUAAUACAAUCAUAAUCAUUACGCGAUCACACAUUUAAGAUUUAAACUGAAUGAGCUCGUUGUCUUGCAGUAAUUAUUUCUUUGCUGUGUUGAAACACCGAGUACUGUAACAGAAGAAAUGUUGCUUUCGAAUUGGUUUUACUGAGGCCUCAAGUAGAUAUGUAUAGAAAUUUUCUUUCUAUUGUAAAACAUGCAAAUAUCAAGAAACGAAUGUGUCUUUGUUCUUCAAUUCAUAACAGUAGGGGAACUUGUCUUUAUCUGAAGAAUUAUUUUUCAUAUUUAGGAAAAAAAGCUUGUGGCAACUGUCUUCUCUGAGCAGCGGUCUUGUGAACAUGGGCCUCAGUACAAUAAAGAGGACACUUCACACCCUACAACCCGUAAAAAUAACCCAGAUUCGUCAGAACUGCACACCCAUCUUAGGCCUACUGUACCUGUUUUACUUCAUGAUCACUGCAGAUACUUCUACAAUUGACCCACUUUGUAAGUUCUCAUAGUUACACCUUAAAAAAACACAUCAUUUUAGAAAAAAUACCUGUGUAUGUGCUGGUAUAUUACUGAGAUACCUUUAUAAAGAUUAAUGUUGAUUACAUAAGUAGUUCAAUUAAAAAUGAAAAAUGUGCCAUUUAAUCUCCCUCCUGUCAUUCUAUUCCAUAAAAAAGUCUGCAUCUUCAUGACACGAGUGAAGAUAUUUAUCCCAAUCUCUGACACCCAAAAAAACAUCAAAUCAAUCUAUAUGAAUGGAGCCGAUUAAUCUACAUUUUGGGCCAAACUGUUCAAUGAAUUGUAAGGAGCAGUUUCAGUUAUAUUUCCACUUGAACUCUGUUAGGCAUGGUCUGAUUAACUGUUCUUGAUCCAGAACUCUUAGCUGAACACGCUGAACCGUGCUGUAGAAUCCCUGGAGUGACGUCGCUGCUCAGGGUUGGUCGUUUGUCUUUUGCCUAGCCACCAGUUUCUCUGUAGCUGGCCAACAUGCAAUUUGAGUGAAGUAAACAAGUUAAUAGUAAAAUUAAAAGUAAUAUUUAAUCUUUCAUAACAUGGGUGCUAUUUACAUCAGGUAUGAUAUCUUAACUAUUGCAUUACUAAGGCAAUGACUGACAUUUAUGUUGCAUUUAAAAGAGCUUUGUUAACAGCCCAACAGUGAAAAAUUAAACUAUAUCUGUAUUGUCACAGCAUGGAAAGGUUAAGCAUUGAGAAUUAAGAAUGGUUUGGCCUGACAGUAGAAAAGUGGCUCAAGUCUUCAAAAGAGACAAGAUUGCUAUAUGAUCAACUGUUUAAAGUGUUGGGUAAAUAGACAUUCGUUUAAAGGACAGAAAUUUCUCAGAUUUCACUGAAAAUGUCUUUAUUUGUGUUCCGAAAAUAAACAAAAGUCAUGGGUGAGUAAAUGAUGACAUGAAUUUCAAGUUUGGGUGAACUAACCCAAUGGCAUGCCAGUGUAGGCAGGACAGAUAACACUGACAACUGAUCAUUCACAUUUCCCUGCUAAUAUUGUGUUUAUUUGGUUUUAUACAGGUGUCUGAUGUUGGUACAGUCUGGGCACUAGUAUCUGUUGGCUUGCUGACUAUCACUGAAGAUGAAGUACUUCUCCAAAUCUUCUCUGCCUUGACCCUGUGUCUUCUGUCAUCAUUGUUCAGUGUAGUACUGCAAAGAACAGUUUCCAGGGUCUACCUCCAACAUUUGCUUCUGGACCGCCAUGUGCUACGUUUGGAUUACUGGUACAUGUGGAUUACCCUGAUA